This 433-nucleotide ribosomal RNA is filed under the name uncultured bacterium. RNAcentral describes it as "partial 16S ribosomal RNA". It matches the Rfam family "Bacterial small subunit ribosomal RNA", at positions 29 to 507 of the family's 1533-position model. The record is from RNAcentral.
AACGAACGCUGGCGGCAGGCCUAACACAUGCAAGUCGAACGGAACCUUCGGGGUUAGUGGCGCACGGGUGAGUAACGCGUGGGAACCUGCCCUUAGCUUCGGAAUAGCCCUCUGAAAGGGGGGCUAAUACCGGAUAAGCACUUCUGACGAAAGAUUUAUCGCCGACGGAUGGGCCCGCGUUGGAUUAGGUAGUUGGUAGGGUAAUGGCCUACCAAGGCGACGAUCCAUAGCUGGUCUGAGAGGAUGAUCAGCCACACUGGGACUGAGACACGGCCCAGACUCCUACGGGAGGCAGCAGUGGGGAAUGUUGGACAAUGGGCGAAAGCCUGAUCCAGCAAUGCCGCGUGAGUGAUGAAGGCCUUAGGGUUGUAAAGCUCUUUUACCCGGGAUGAUAAUGACGGUACCGGGAGAAUAAGCACCGGCUAACUCCGUG